Molecule: long non-coding RNA, 1819 nt
Organism: Brachypodium distachyon (stiff brome)
Lineage: Eukaryota; Viridiplantae; Streptophyta; Magnoliopsida; Poales; Poaceae
Exons: 2
Source: RefSeq, a predicted model, not a curated record
AGGGCUGCCAGCGAAGGGAGACGAAGGGGAAUAGGGCUCAGGAGUCUUCGGGAAGACGGGAGAAGAAACUGGGGCUCUCACCCCCAAUACAUUGUAACCUAGUAGAACGCAAACACAUAGGUUUAAAUGAAAAUUAAAUGUUUUAUACCUUGAUUACUGUGAUUUACACUUCAAUCAUAAUUUUCUGACAACUAUUUCAUAUUAUUAACAUUAUUAUACUUUUGAGUUAAGUGUGAAGUUUGCCUUGCGUGCCUCGCUGUAGUUGUGAGUGACAUGGAGCAAAUGUUUCUGUGUGCAGGUGCAAGGAAGUGAGCAGGCUGCACAUUAAGUGUUCGAUGAUAUGCUCAAAUGGGGCUUUACGUGUUGUGUUCGGGGAAUCGGCCUCGGUCGCCUUCGUUGGAGGUGCUGAAGGUGUUGGAUUCACUGCUGCUGCAGAGGCGGAAGUUGUUUGGGCCCUGGCGCCGGCGUUGUUCCGUCGGGUGUUGGUGGUCAUAUUGCUGGUUAUGGCGGCGGCAAUGUCGUGUCCGUGCCGGUUAGCAGUUUGACAUGAUUGGUGGCCAGCGGCAAGGUCGCCAAAUUGAGGGGACCUCCUGCAGCAGGGCGGGCUCCAGGUGUAGCAAGGUGGUGACCAUCUCCUUGUUGGCGGGUAGGUAGAUGGAGAUGGUCUGCCGCACGGUGGACUGCAGCAGGUUGCUGGUGUCGCUCUGAUGGGCGGCUGCAAUCGUUUUGGUUGGACCUAGCUGUGCCGCUAUGGCUGCGGCAGGGCUGGAUGUUGCCGCUGUAGGUGGUGGUGGUGUGAUUGCUGCCACUUUGUCGACAAUUGGUACGAGCUCUCUGGUCCGGAGGGGGAAAAAACGGGAGGGCCCGCGACGGGGAAAAAAAUGGCGGAACUAGGGUUCCGGGUGGCGGCGCCACCAGCCCGCCAGCCCCUUCUCCAUACUCCGCCGGUUCUGCUCCACCCCCACCCCCCCACCCCCGUGUCUACCGCACCUCGUCUGCUUCGGAGAGAGCACUCGGGCGCGGCAUCCACCGCCACCGCCGGGACGCUGGGAGUGAUGUGCCGCCGCCUGGAUUUACGGCCUCCCGACCGGAUCCGCCGUCUCCUGCCCGGAUCUGCCGCCCGAGUGAGCUCCGGGCCGACGCCGUGCCGGCGUGCUGGGGAGAGGAGGUGCAGCGGCUGCAGAGCGCCGGCGCCACUUUCUCCGCACCGCAUGAGCUCGUCUCGUCCGUCUCGGCGCCGGGGAUCGUCGGGGAUGAGCACAUCGACCCACUGGCCUCCUCUUCUUCAAGGUUCUCGCGGCCCGUCCGCCGCUGGGGUGGAACUUCCGCAGGGAACUUGAAGAGGAACUUUUUAUCGUUGGUGGGUGGUAUAUAUUGUCGUCUUGAUCUUCCGUGGGUUCCAUGGUUGGCCUCGAAGGGAUUCAAGCCGGCUGUACCUCCUCUUUCUCUGUGCUUGGGCUAGCCUGCGGGAACAUGCUGCUCUGGAUCUACUUCACUCGUGCUUUGGGAGGUUGUGGCAAGUCGUGGCGACGGUUUUUCAUCACUUGAGAGGUUGGACUCCUGUCACUUGUCAUCUGAAAUGCCGAGGGGGGCCAUGGAGUGGUGUUGCUGAACCCUAUCGUGAAGCCGGAGUCUUUGUUAUGAGCAGUUUGUAAUAGGGAUAGAUCAAUUGGCCUACACCGGUUGUCAUAUUUGAGGAGGUUUCAGUUCUAUUUAGCUGAGCCAACUCCUGUGAGUGUUUAAGUUCAGACUAUUUAUGUAUAAGACACUUGAUUUCCUUUAAAUGAAACCGGAGUGGGAGCCCUCUGUCUGUCAAAAA